Molecule: small nucleolar RNA, 133 nt
Filed under: Chinchilla lanigera (long-tailed chinchilla)
Lineage: Eukaryota; Metazoa; Chordata; Mammalia; Rodentia; Chinchillidae
Description: Small nucleolar RNA SNORA70 (ENSCLAG00000018568.1)
Rfam family: Small nucleolar RNA SNORA70
About the family: snoRNA U70 seems to be exclusive to mammals and is a member of the H/ACA class of snoRNA which contain H (ANANNA) and ACA box motifs.
Source: RNAcentral
CGGAGCUUCUUCAGAUCCUCCUAUUGGAGAUGAUCUAAAAGACAGGGGUCCCUGGCUGCAGACAGCAACCUCCUAGGUAUGGUACACAGCCCAAUGCUUGCACGGGCUGCCCUAUGGGACCUGGGAGACCCGG